Molecule: RNA transcript, 10509 nt
Organism: Macrobrachium nipponense
Lineage: Eukaryota; Metazoa; Arthropoda; Malacostraca; Decapoda; Palaemonidae
Gene: shaker
Gene name: potassium voltage-gated channel protein Shaker-like
Exons: 10
Source: RefSeq, a predicted model, not a curated record
CGGGCUGGUGCCGUCAACGCGUCCGCCCGUCGUGCCGAGCGUGCGUGUGUGUGUGAGACUGUUGUUGUUGUUGUGCUGCCCGCCCACCGCCAGCCCAAAACGCCCACUGACAGCCACCACCGCUGCUGGGCGGGGCUCAGGUGGCCCAUACCUGAUGGAGAGGGCGAGGGUGGCCACCUGUCUUAAGCGUCAAGGUGUCCUUAAUGAUCAGCAGCCUUUGGAAAGAAUAACAACAGCGAUCGGUUGUGUCGAAGUCAUAUACGUAUGUAUGAAGUGCAUCGUGUCCUCAGGUAUAUAGAUGAUAGCAGAGGAAUUGGGUGAAAGCGAGCGAGCGACAGAGCCACCAUCCUCAGCGGGCGGUGCCCCCGGUCGUGUUACCCGAAGAGAAAAUCAGAUUGAGAUGAAAACAGAAGGCAAAAUCGCAGCAGCUGCUGAGGCCAUUUUUCCUCUCCUGCCCCUCAAGUAGCUCUACUGCUACUGCUACUGCUACUGCUGCUGUUGCCUCUGCUGUGUUUAUUGUUACUGCUGCUGCUGUUGCACAUCCUUCUCUCUAUUCUAUACCACGACAGCCAGUUGCACUCUCUCUCCUCCCUCAGUGCCUCCAUCUACUGGACCUCCUCCCCCCAUCCUCCCAUCCCAAUCCCAAUCCCAAUCCCACAGCAGUCGAGGUUUUCUCCUCUCUUUCUCUCUCUCCUUUCCUCUCUGUCGCCUCUCAGUCUCUCUCAUUUUCAUUUCUCUCAUUUGUGUUCGGGAGUGAAAUGCGUAUUAUUUUCAAAGUGUGGUGUAUUCAACAUGGCCCUCUGCCUGUGCCCGUCCACAGCGCCCACAUUCCUCCGCCCACCACACACCCAUCAGUGCACCGCUGAGCCGGCAUCAGCAAGAGGCCGCCGGUGGCCCCGGUGUGUGUGAGGGCGUGAGAGGCGGGGAAAGGAGAAGAGGAGGAAAGAGAGAGAGAGAGAGAGAGAGAGAGAGAGAGAGAGAGAGAGAGAGAGAGAGAGAGAGAGAGAGUGAGUGAGAAAGAGAGAGAAGGCCACCCACCACUGAAACCCGCCCACCGUGGAUCGGGGUGUGAGUGAGAGUGAAGUGUUGUUGUUGUUCUUGCUGUUGAGGAGGAGGAGGAGGAGAAGGAGGAGAGGAAGAAUAAGAAGAAGAAGACGAAGAAGAAGAAUAAGGAGGGGUGAGGUGGAGGGAAGGGCCUAAGGAGAAGAGUAGCAGGGUUGUUGGUGGCAGCAGCAGCAGCAGCAGCAGCAGCAGCAGGAGUGAUCGUUGUCAAACCCCGAGGAAGAAUGGGUUAGUGACACCCAGUGGGUAAUGUGUGAGUGCAUCCGAGUGUUAUGAGGGGCCCCGUUGGUCACCUACUGCUGUAGCUGCCCCCACCCGUCAUCAUCAGGCGUCUGGCAGCCAUGUCCAUGUCCUUCUUCACGUUCCCCGUGCCCCGAUUCUUGUUCCGGGGCUCCGGCGAAGCGAGAGACGACAAAUCGCUCCAGCAAUCCCGACAGCAGAAGGAUUCGAAAGCCAACAAGCCCUACGACUCUGCCGACCACCAUCACCUCUCUGGGUCACUACCCAAGCUAAGUAGCCAAGACGAUGACGGCCCAAAUCCUCAGACCUUCAUUGGGACGGGAAACUUCGAACCCAUUCCUCACGAUCACGACUUCUGUGAGAGAGUCGUAAUAAAUGUGAGCGGCCUCCGGUUCGAAACUCAACUACGAACCCUAAACCAAUUCCCGGAUACCCUAUUAGGAGAUCCGGCGCGAAGGAUCCGAUACUUCGACCCCCUUCGAAAUGAAUAUUUCUUCGACCGCAACCGGCCAAGUUUCGACGCCAUCCUAUACUACUAUCAAAGCGGUGGAAGGCUUAGAAGACCCGUCAAUGUGCCUCUCGACGUCUUCGCCGAGGAGAUCAAGUUCUACGAGCUCGGAGAUGUCGCCAUCAACAAAUUCAGGGAGGAUGAGGGCUUCAUCAAAGAAGAGGAACGACCGCUUCCGGAGAACGAAUUCCAGCGGAAAGUGUGGCUCCUGUUCGAGUACCCGGAGAGCUCGCAGAACGCCCGAGUGGUUGCCAUUAUUUCAGUGAUUGUUAUCCUCUUAUCCAUUGUGAUCUUUUGCCUUGAGACCUUACCGGAAUUCAAGCAUUACAAGGUGUUCAAUACCACGACCAAUGGGACCGUGGUGGAAGAGGACGAAGUCCCCGAAGUGACCGACCCCUUCUUCCUCAUAGAAACCAUUUGUAUCGUUUGGUUUUCGUUCGAGCUUUUAGUGAGAUUUUUCGCAUCGCCACUGAAAGGAGCCUUUAUGAAGGAUGUCAUGAACAUUAUCGACAUAGUGGCUAUCAUUCCUUAUUUUAUCACCUUGGCAACGGUGGUGGCCGAAGAGGAUCAUGCGCCCAUGGUCAUCCCCGCCGAAACUCUCUCUCCGCACGAAAAGGGGUCCAAGCAAGCCAUGUCCUUAGCCAUUUUAAGAGUCAUUCGACUGGUGAGAGUUUUCAGAAUAUUCAAAUUGUCUCGCCACUCCAAAGGUCUUCAGAUCCUGGGUAGAACGCUCAAGGCCUCUAUGAGAGAACUCGGCUUGCUCAUAUUCUUCCUGUUCAUCGGUGUGGUACUCUUCUCAAGUGCUGUGUACUUCGCCGAGGCAGGCUCAGAAAAAUCCUUCUUCAAGUCUAUUCCUGAUGCCUUCUGGUGGGCGGUCGUCACCAUGACUACUGUGGGCUAUGGAGAUAUGACGCCUGUGGGUGUGUGGGGUAAGAUUGUUGGGUCACUAUGCGCCAUCGCUGGUGUGCUUACGAUCGCCCUUCCAGUACCCGUUAUUGUGUCAAACUUCAAUUACUUCUACCAUCGGGAAACCGACCAAGAAGAGAUGCAAAGUCAAAACUUCAACCACGUCACCAGUUGUCCGUACUUACCUGGCACUGUUGGCCAGCACUUGAAGAAGGACUCCUUGUCUGAGUCCUCCUCCGACAUCAUGGAGCUGGAGGAAGGAAUCCUUUUGCAACACGACCUUAGUAAAAAGCAGAACUGCAACCCGCGCCACAACAAUAACAUAAAUGCUAUGAGUAUCGAAACUGACGUCUGACACUUGUUACAGCGAAGUGUUGGAUGUGGCGGAUAGAGGAGAUGCCAGUGUAAAUGAUGCAGGAGCAGGGAGCGGAUGUCAGUUUGAGAACGUCUGACGAAAUAACGGUUUUGGAUACAAAGAGGGGCCAGUUACAAGACAGAAGAACAAGAUGCCAGUAGUUGGAUGGGUUAAAAAGGUUGGAGAAAGUUACGUGGGUUUCGAUACCUCGGCAAAAUGAACACGAACAGAUCUUUGGAUUUUUCUCUUAACUGUCGAUGGCCGAAUUUACUGUAGUAAUGAAUAUUGACGGCGAAAGUCCGGACAAUUGAUGCCAACUAUAAAGACGGGUUAUACGGGAAAUAGGUGGCAGGAAGGAGUUGAGUAGUGCCAACACUUAAAAAAGCACCCAGCAACCAUACAAUCGGCCAAGCUGCUGUGCCAUCCUCAUCGUACGGGGAGCCUCGUAACGAAGAAAUGCAGCUUUGAGAAGCACUAGGGGUCAGAGUGGGUCAGGAGGUAAAAUAAAAAUAAAAAUACUAAAAAAAAGGCCAGCAAGAGAGUAUUAUAAAAUGGCGGGAAGAGACGCACACACAUUCGUGAAGUUAAAGAAGCUUGUCAGAUCGCCUUUGUACAACUUUGAGAGAAGCUGUUGUUAUCUGUUAUCUCUUAUAUUAGUUCAAGAAAAUUGCCUUAUAAUUUACUCUAGAUCAAAUAUGCCAGUGAGACUGAGUUCAGAACGACAAUCAAGAACUUUAAGACAAUGUUCAGGUCAAAUUAGAACCUCAAACAUUCAUUUUAUUCAUUUCAACUUUUUACAAAUGCUUUGAAAAUGUUUAUGAAGUCCAAAUGUAUAAUUUUCCUGUUAAUCUUAGUUUAUUUCACAAUGUAAAGAAAAUGAUUCAAUGCAACUGUGAUCCCAGUGGAAACUCAGUAUAACAAGGCCUAUGCUCCUGACUUAGCAAGACCUCGUCAAUAGUGCAAAACGAGAAAUCAAAACAGCGUAAGAGAGAAAGGCUGCAAGAUGGACUUAGAAAUGUUCAAUAUAUUGUACAUGUGAUAUCCUUAACCUAAAUAGUGGAAGAAUGAGUAUUUCUAGAAAAUAUUUCAAAUAUAACCAGAGUUGUUUUUAUAUGCUGUAAUACAAUUGAUUGGCUUUCAAAUUUGUGUGGUAAUAGUGAAUGUUGCUGAGAAGUGUGUAUGAGAUACGAUAGACCAUUUUAAGCCUUGAGUUUUUGGUUUUGGUGUUGUAUUUUCUACGAAAAGAACUCCACUAAGGAAAAACUUGAGAGCUCAAAAUGGUUUAUCACUUCACAUAGUUUCCAAGAAGUGAUUAAAGUUUAAUUAGCUACGUAAACACGUUCUCAUGAAGGGUUUGCAAAUGUUUGAUCAUCAUCCUAUGAUCCCCCAUCGUGCCAGAGAAACCUUGUUACAUUCUGUUUUAGUCCUCCUUUCUCCUUUCCUAUCUAAAACGCCUAGUUUUCCCUUCCCCUCCCACCUAGGCAACCUUCUUACCAUUUUCCCUGCCGUCAGAGAGAAUCUAAGGUAUAUAAUACUCCCUGGCAUGGUUUCCUUCCAUCUAAAACUUUUAUCCCUAUGCUUUCUACGAAAAGGAGUAUCUGAAAGCAGUUCUUUAUUAUUUCAUUCAAAGAAAGAAUCCAUAUCUUCUUCAUAGCUCUGGUUCUUGGGUAAUCUCCCAGUUUCACGGGAUAUCACAAAAGCUAGAAAAUUCUCUGUUCAUACUCAGGAAUAUGUGCUUUACUGGAGUGCCCUGAAACUGAUACAUUACCCAAAGUUCAGAUACUAUUUUAGGAGCAUUACAAGGUAGUGGAUCCCAUAUCUUACUCCCCCCAGCUGCCCAGAGGCAUCAUUAAAAAUUUUUCCAAGGCCUUUUGAAUCCUGUUUUUAUGCCUUUUUGCGCCUUCUACAAAUUCUACGCUCUUCUCUGCUGCAGUAGUUCUAUGCCCUUCGAAGUAUUAUAACCAACUCUCUGGAACUGCUCUUCCCCGCCUUACUUUUGUCGGAUGCCAAAAUGUCACAGGGACGUUUAUGGUUGCAGUAUUUUUAUGGGCAGAUGGGGGUAGUUAUGGGUGGUAGGACUGAAAACCUUUUGGUAAACUUUUUCUUCUUAAUGACCCUUCCUAAUGUCAUUCCAUCUCCUACAUAAAUUAAAACUUUCCCAGGUUGAACAGCAAUAAAGCAUAACAGUUUAUUACAACCAUUCCUAGGGUUUGUUUUUUGUUCACUUUGCAUAAUAAUGUUUCAAAUAUUAUCUCUAUAACGCAUUUCAUAAUAUAUUGUUGUUCAACUGUUCCCCAACAUUACAUUCUCCUAUGUUACAAAGUUGAGUGUGGGUAUGAUGUUAAGAAGACCGUUACUGUGGAGAUAUGAUGUGCAAAGUCACAGUGCUGACAGCGAGUGAUAUUAAGGCCAAGGGGUUCCCCAGGGGCUUGGCCCCCUCUCAUAACCACCACUACCACCUGCUUCCACAACCCACCACCAGCAAAUCCAAGCCCCAAUGCGCAAUCACAUAGCAAAGGUAAUAGAAACUGGGAAGAGAGAAGAGAAGGAAAGCAAGAAACAUGUUAUAAACGAGUGUGUGUGCGCACUAAAAGACAGGGAGGAAAUAAAUUUUCAAAAGCAAAAUGAGCAACGAAUGACGCAGCUGCCGUGAUCAGACUGUUUCGUUACGACAAGCAAGUGGUGAUGUUUGUGCCUGAAGCAAAUUCUGCUGAAGCUUUACCAAGAAUGUACAUAUUCGUUAUUCUAGUGAUUCAUUAGUUAAUACUAAGAACAAUGGCCUGAAUGAAGGAGGGAGGAAAGACGCUAUAGAAAAAUAAGCAGCUGAUGUGUUAAAUACUUUGGAAGUUUAAGUGAAAGUGGUGGCAGUCGUGAGUGUGUGCUCGUAAACCUUAACUGUGAGAUAAAGUGUGUGCUAGGUUGACCAUAUGUUCCUCAAUAUGUUGAAGAGGAAUUUUUUUCAAACCGUCUUAUUCAAACCUGAACUUCAUAACUACAAUAUAAGAUAUACACCAGCACUGUUCUAAGUGUUGGAUAAUCUUCGGGUUGUUUCUUUUUGCCAUGUUUAUUGGAUGGUUUAAGAUAACAAUUCGGUGAGGUUGGUACCCCUGUGCGUGAAAAUGGCGCAGAGUAAAACAAAGGUUCUCAGACGUCACAAUCCUCUAGCAUCUUCAGGAAGCAGAAUUCCACAAAGUGCCACAAGGUGGUGCUUUCUUAAGCUCAACUUGAAGAUGUCUGAUUCAUGAUGCAUGGCGUAUAAUUACCUAGAAGAAAGUAUGUGAGAUGGUCAGGCUGGAAAACAGAACAAGGUGAAUUUGAAAUAUUCUUAACAUUAUUCAUCAAAUUAAAAAUAAAUUCGUUUACUAUCAAUGUUUAAUACCAGUCAAAUUUGAAACGUACAUGAAGAGUGAGGUUUCUAAAACAAGAAUAAAAUAAAUGAAACCUGUUGAGCAAUAAACAGAGGGGACAGAAAUGAAAGAAAAGUGGGCAACAAAACAGGAGUGGAGUAACAAACAGAAAAUAAAAUAGAUAUUGUCCACAAGGAGCAGCAGCAGACCUAAGCAGGAUCAGGUGUGAAGAAGUUUCCGUCACUGGCACAUUAUCCUCUCCAUGAGAGCCUCAUCCCCUCUCCGCUGAAGGAGGUGCCGCCCCGCCCUAUCACUCAGGAAGGAUGGUCCUAAUUACUGUAAAAGCAUAACUAUCUGGAAUUUCAAUUAGUCUUGGUCAUCCAGUCCCUGGAAAGGAGACUACUUGAAAUCAAUGAAAUUGGUGAAUUACCAUAAGGCCCGAUUUGUGAUGUAAGAACUCCUUAAGAUGAUUUUGCUUUCAUAGUUACAGUUCAGUUAAAGAAAAAAAGCAUGGCCGCAGUUUUUUUUAGAUGUCUUAGACAUGACAAUAUAUAUAUAUAUAUAUAUAUAUAUAUAUAUAUAUAUAUAUAUAUAUAUAUAUAUAUAUAUAUAUAUAUAUAUAUAUAUAUGUAAUUUACAUAAUAUUUAUACAUAUAAUGAAUGUAAGAAAGAUUUUGAACUCUUCUGCAUCUGCAAAUGACAAAAAAAAAAUAUUGGGUAGACUAGUAAUAGCUCACGAAAACCUGUAAGAAAAGGUUUGGUACUGUUCUUGCUUCAAUAGGCCUAACAUAGCAAAUUAGAAAUAAUGAUCCUUCCUAAGCAAAAGAACAGAAUCUUAUGGUGUUCUUACAUUUGCAAAGCUAAUCAUGUCCAUCCUCUGUGCAGUCAGUUGCACAUUGAGAGCGUGGAUGGCAUACGAAGGAUGUCACUGGAACGGACCUCGACACGAGUCAUUGAAACUACGUAUUUGAAGCUGCAGAUAUAAUUCUGAGGAGAGUACAGUAUACUAAUAAGGAUGAUGAUGGUAAUCAUAAUUUACAUGAUAAAGUAACAUCAAUAGUACUAAGAAGAAAGUGAUCCGAUUAAAUAGAAAAUAGAAAUAAAUGUGAAUCAAAACUGCUUGUCUGAGAUUGCCAGAGAGUGAGAGUGGAAGAGAGAGAGUUCAAAAGAGAAUAAGAGAGAGAGCGAGAGAGAGAGAGAGAUUCGGAAGUACACAUUGUUAACUGCCCAUUCACUCACCCUGCAUAGACAUUUCAGGAGGUAUCAGCUACCGAGGAGUAAAAGAAAUAAAGACACGUUUUGUGUUCAUAUCACAACCUUCACCCCUUGCCUUUGCAUCGUUUAUGCCCAAAUAUUUCCUAAGUGAUGAUGUUGGAUUGUCUCUAAACAUAUCGUUCAUUCAAAAGAGGAAGCCUUGUCCUUUGUGUGGGUCACUCUCACUUCUUACAUUAUGAAGUUUGUGUCAUCUUUCAGUGUCCAGUUUAUGUUCUUAAUUGUACUGCUUUAUUUUUUUGAGUCAUCACAUUUAGUCAGACAUCUACAAUGUAUAUAAUAAAGGUGUAAGUAAAUAUGUGGAUGACUGUAUCCGGUGCUAGAAUUCCAUUGCAGUCAAGGAAGAGGAAGUUACAACAUAGAUUAAAUGCAAAAAAAAAUGUUAUAAUAGAUCACUUGCAGUUACCAUAGUGAGGAAAAAUACAGUCUAGGUUACCCAUGUAGUCUGUUAGACCAGGUCAGGCAGUCAUAUCAAAUUUGACUAAAAUUAUAACUGGUAAAAAAGGAGUGUCAUGAAGGAUUUUUUUUUCUUAAACCGGGUUAGUAACCAGAGAAAUCGGGUUCCUUGAGGUGUUGUGUACUUGCUGUUGAAAGUGAGUGAAACUUCAAUUGGGCAAGAAGGUAAUAAAAUUGAUUAUCCAUUGUAGAUCAUUUUUUAAAAUUAUAACUGACUACCUCCCCCUGUAUUGUACACGUAAGACAGUAGAAACUAAUAAUAGUAAUCUUUAUUUGCCGAGCUCAUAACUAGUGUGCAGGUGAAAGAAAAUACAUGGGUAAAAGUAAAUGCAUAGUUGAAAAGAGAAAGUAUAAUCUUUAUUAUAGAAAGAUUCUCUAAUCCUCCUCCACUCAGCUUCAGCCAAAAAGAAAUUGUAGUAAUGUGGAUACUGAUUAAAGGAACUUUAAAGCCCAAAAAUUGAUAAAAGAAGGCAGAUCAAGACUGAUAAUGAACACAUUGGAGAAGGACGGUAAGGACUUAGGCCAGUCAGAAUGUAUGGCAAAAAUGUCUCCCCCAACUAGUACGUAGGUGAUGGUCUACACGCCUAUGAGUAAUGAGUCUAGUUUAGAGAGAUAGAAUACAAAGUGAGUAAUUACCUAAAUUGAUCAGCAUUAUGAUAAUUUCAUAGAACGAAGAAAUUUGUGACCGUUCGCCUCUCCAAGAUCUGAUAAAAGUGCAUUGCUUCACUAUAAAUGAAGAAAUGCUAUCAUGUUUUUAUAUGUUUCUUUCUAAAAGCCUGUAUAUAUUCUGUACAUAAUUGACUGAUUGUUUGUUUUACAUUAAGCCUGUUUAUUGUUGACGGUUUGAGAAUCUUAGAUAAUUAUUUUCUCUUGUUGCUGCAUGAGAACUUUGAACAACUCUUAACCCAUCAGGUUUUGUAAGUGUGACCUCCUCCUUGCGUUGCUCGUGAGGGGCUGACUAGGAGAAGGUCCCACCCGGCAGAACUUUGAGUGGGCUGCCCGUCCCAAGGUGUCCGAAUGCAGUCUCAAGUUUCCUAAGCAACUCUCUUCUUCUUCUUGUGGACUAGGAUAUAGGAACCAUUAAGAGGGGGCGGGCAUCCCAACCAUAUGCUUCAUACUUUAUCUAGGAAAACCUCUAGAGCAUUAUUUGCUUGCUAGAUUACAAAAGAUAUUGGAAUAAAUGACCAUUAAACAUUUCAGAACGGCCGUAGUUCCUCAAAAUGCUGUAACCUCUUCAGCUAUUUACGACUCUGCUUAAUAUAGAGAGACAAUGUAGUUGAUCCAAGACUGGGAUAGUCCACUGUGAUGUGAUCAGCCAUUUUGACCUUUGAAAUAUGAUAUCAGUUUUGAAUAUCAAGAAUCAGCUUCAUCAAACUUCCUUCUUAUGCGAAUGCGAGGUCAAAAUAACUGAUCAGAUCUCAAAUCUUGUUGGUAGAUUCUUCUGUUGCAUCAUAAUACAUCAAGCCAGUUUUUGGAUACUAUGUCCUGAUAUGUGAUGAUGGAAUUGGUUGUUACAAGGAUUAAAUGAGAACAUAUUUUUACAAGGAUUCGUUUACUCUGUUUAAACUGUCAAUGUAAAUUUUCUUCAGAAUUUAAUCUUUUAUAAUAGCAAUUCCAUCUCGAAAUGCAGCAGUAAUUCUUCUCUUAAGUCUUUUCUCUUCAUUGUCUCUUUACAUAAUAAGGUGCCAUGUACUCCCAAGUUAUCUUACUGGCUCCCUCUUUCUCCCUCUUUAUUAUAUUGUAUCUAUGUUACUUUGCUUCAAACAGUUGUUUUCUUUGUCCACUCAAGGAAAGAAAAUAUUGUUAGCAAACUGCAGCUACCAAUGACAUUGCCAACUCUUUCCAUUCUUUUCAGAAUUAUUAGUAGUGGUAUAGGGUUUCAAAUUAUUGAGACUUUCUCUAUUUAACUUUAUAAUGACUGCCUGUUAUUGUAUAUAAUACAAAUAAAAGUUGUUGGUUAAAUAAUGUAACAACAAUUCAUCAUCGUCAUCCAUUCCAAAUCAAAAUGAAGGCAGAUGAGCUGUAAUUAUGAGAAUACUAGUCCACCUAAUUAUUCCAGGUAUUAUUGAUUAGGCUCUCCCUUUCCAUAUUAAUCCCUCCUUAUCCUUAAAGUACCCGAGGCUCAGGAAAAGACAAUGAGAACCCACCAUGUUAGACUCAGAGAGAAAGUGAGAGAGGAAGAGAGAAUGGUUGGAGUUUCACAUACUGCAGUUAGAAAAAAAUAGUCAAUGGUAAACUCAUCCCAUCCAAAAACUGGUGAAAGGGGUUUACGUUGUCUCCUGCUGAACUUCAGAACAAUAUCCGCUUCAAUCAGAGACGUCAAUGGGUUUCCGAGUCGUAAGGGUUGUCAAAGGGAAAGGGAG